Molecule: small RNA, 413 nt
Filed under: Vigna angularis var. angularis
Lineage: Eukaryota; Viridiplantae; Streptophyta; Magnoliopsida; Fabales; Fabaceae
Description: Non-protein coding transcript
Source: RNAcentral
AAAAAGGAUGUUAUACAUAUAAUACAUUUAAUUCAUGUCAUCAUACAUAGAUACAUAUAAAGGAACAAUUAAAGCAUGCUCAUUGAACCACAACUCACACAUCUUUACGUUUGCAUAGUUCUGUUGGCACUUCCCAACACUAUGCAAGGUAAAACCACAACUCACGACUCCUCCGGAUUUGUAUAACUGUCGAACUAACAAUCGUCUUUGCACUUGCAUAGUUCUGCUGGCACUAUCCAACACUAGCAAGCAUGAACAAUGUUUUGAGUGUAGGGAUAGACGGACCGAUCCUAAGUUCACUACAGUUAUACCAAACAACCACAACACCACAUAACCACUUGUAGUCAUCUCUCCCUAAGAUGUCCACUUCAUACUCACAUUCAUCAUUUACAUUUACAAUCGUAUCAUCACAG